Molecule: ribosomal RNA, 251 nt
Filed under: uncultured prokaryote
Description: partial 16S rRNA
Rfam family: Bacterial small subunit ribosomal RNA
Source: RNAcentral
ACGUAGGCAGCAAGCGUUGUUCGGAAUUACUGGGCGUAAAGGGCGUGUAGGCGGCGCGCUAAGUUUGGUGUGAAAUCCCUCGGCUUAACUGGGAGGGUGCAUUGAAAACUGGGUCGCUUGAGUAUGGGAGAGGAAAGCGGAAUUCCCGGUGUAGCGGUGAAAUGCGUAGAGAUCGGGAGGAACACCAGCGGCGUAGGCGGCUAUCUGGACUAGAACUGACGCUGAAGCGCGAAAGCGUGGGGAGCAAACAG